Molecule: ribosomal RNA, 208 nt
Filed under: uncultured bacterium
Lineage: Bacteria
Description: partial 16S ribosomal RNA
Rfam family: Bacterial small subunit ribosomal RNA
Source: RNAcentral
UACAUGGGGUGCAAACGUUGCUCGGAAUUAUUGGGCGUAAAGCGCACGUAGGCGGUUCGUUAAGUCGGAUGUGAAAGCCCUCGGCUCAACUGAGGAAGUGCACCCGAAACUGGCGAGCUUGAGUACGAAAGAGGAUCGCGGAAUUUCCGGUGUAGCGGUGAAAUGCGUAGAUAUCGGGAAGGAACACCAGUGGCGAAAGGCGGGCUCC